Molecule: long non-coding RNA, 245 nt
Filed under: Bos taurus (domestic cattle)
Lineage: Eukaryota; Metazoa; Chordata; Mammalia; Artiodactyla; Bovidae
Description: long non-coding RNA NONBTAT004269
Source: RNAcentral
UCAAAUCUAGCAAAUUUGGCACAAGAGUUUAAGAGUACCAAAAUUAAUAUUAUAAAACAGUUCAAAGGUAUUAGACUGAAAUGCAGAGCUAUAAAUGGGGCACAUUCACCCAAUUCUAAAAUUAAUUUACAGUGGUGAAGGAAUCACAAAAUUUGGAAAAACCUCCAGAAGAAAUCAAAGUAAAUAAGGAGUACUACUUUUUAGUACUACCAUUUAUUAAUUCACUUGACUAAUUAAAGAUGUUC